This 847-nucleotide ribosomal RNA is filed under the name uncultured bacterium. Its description in RNAcentral is "bacterial SSU rRNA". It matches the Rfam family "Bacterial small subunit ribosomal RNA", at positions 8 to 864 of the family's 1533-position model. The record is from RNAcentral.
AGAGUUUGAUCAUGGCUCAGGACGAACGCUGGCGGCGUGCUUAAUACAUGCAAGUCGAACGGAAUUUAGUUGGUGGUAACAUUGGCUAAAUUUAGUGGCGAACGGGUGCGUAACACGUGAGCAACCUGCCCCGAAGUCUGGGAUAACAGCGGGAAACUGCUGAUAAUACCGGAUAUUCUCGUUAUUUCACAUGGAGUGACGAGGAAAGUUUUUCGCUUCGGGAGGGGCUCGCGGCCUAUCAGCUUGUUGGUGAGGUAAUGGCUCACCAAGGCUACGACGGGUAGCUGGUCUGAGAGGACGAUCAGCCACACUGGGACUGAGACACGGCCCAGACUCCUACGGGAGGCAGCAGUAGGGAAUAUUGCGCAAUGGGCGAAAGCCUGACGCAGCAACGCCGCGUGGGGGAUGAAGGCCCUCGGGUUGUAAACUCCUUUCAGUGGGAACGAAAUUGACGGUACCCACAGAAGAAGCUCCGGCCAACUACGUGCCAGCAGCCGCGGUGAUACGUAGGGAGCAAGCGUUGUCCGGAUUCAUUGGGCGUAAAGAGCUCGUAGGCGGUUUAGUAAGUCAGGUGUGAAACCUCCAGGCUCAACCUGGAGACGCCACCUGAUACUGCUAUGACUUGAGUUUGGUAGGGGACCAUGGGAUUCCUGGUGUAGCGGUGAAAUGCGCAGAUAUCAGGAGGAACACCAGUAGCGAAGGCGGUGGUCUGGGCCAAUACUGACGCUGAGGAGCGAAAGCGUGGGGAGCGAACAGGAUUAGAUACCCUGGUAGUCCACGCCGUAAACGUUGGGCACUAGGUGUGGGGACCUAUCGACGGUCUCCGUGCCGCAGCUAACGCAUUAAG